UGGGGAAUAUUGGACAAUGGGCGCAAGCCUGAUCCAGCAAUGCCGCGUGAAUGAUGAAGGCCUUAGGGUUGUAAAAUUCUUUCGAUAGGGAAGAGAAUGACGGUACCUAUAUAAGAAGCUCCGGCUAACUCCGUGCCAGCAGCCGCGGUAAUACGGAGGGAGCUAGCGUUUUUCGGAAUUACUGGGCGUAAAGAGCAUGUAGGCGGCUUAUUAAGUUGAAAGUGAAAGCCCAGGGCUUAACCCUGGAACUGCUUUCAAAACUGAUAAGCUAGAGGAUGAUAGGGGACAGUGGAAUUCCUAGUGUAGAGGUGAAAUUCUUAGAUAUUAGGAGGAACACCGGUGGCGAAGGCGACUGUCUGGAUCAUUACUGACGCUGAGAUGCGAAAGCGUGGGGAGCAAA
RNAcentral lists this ribosomal RNA (400 nucleotides) under uncultured bacterium. RNAcentral describes it as "bacterial SSU rRNA". It matches the Rfam family "Bacterial small subunit ribosomal RNA", at positions 355 to 772 of the family's 1533-position model. The record is from RNAcentral.